AAAAGGUUAAACCUGAAAGAAGCUGAAGGAACCCAAAAGGAAAAUUUACUAGAUGCUAAAAAUCAGAAUAUUCUUUGUUUUUCAUGCCAACUGCUCACUGGAGCUUCAUGUUUAUCAGCCUGCAAGUUAAGAGCAAGACACCAUGAAGAAACCAAGUUCAUGAUAAGAUAACCAAAUAAAAAGGUAUUUUCAGGGUUUUUACUUGAUAAAUUUGUGCAUAUGAUUAACUACUGCUAUGGCAACUUGUACUGUGAGAUCCAAAUAUCAUUCUUCCUAGAAGUUUAUGGAUGUUUUGCAUAGUACAGGCAUACUUGUGAUCAUUUGGAGAAACUCAAUCUAAUAAAGGGUUAUGAUCCUUUUGUCAAUGCGAUGAGUUUCAGUUAGGUAAUUUCAAAUAAUUCAGUUUAUCUAAAACAUAUAUUGCUUUAAUGUUUAUCGUCAUGCAAUAAUUAGCAAUCAUUAAUCAUUGCAUGCUUUUUUGCUAGGUUGGAGGUUUAUCAAUUAUUGAUGGCAAGAAUGCUUAUUUUCAUCAAUGCAGAUUACAACUACAAUUCUACAAUCUGUACGCACUGUUGUUUCCAGGGGAAAUCAAUGUUACUUACUCACCACUAAGUUAGACUGAGUAUUUUAUGCUUCUCUUUUUUGGACUUUCUUUUUUAUUUUAUUUUUCCCAUUGGUAAUUGGGUUCUAAAAAGUGGAUCAUCUUGAUAGUCUGUUUUUCUAAAUCCUUUUUGCAUGUACGGUGUCUAGUGUCACUAACGUUUUUCCUCAAGUAAGUCUGAACUUUGCUGGUGGGGCAUCUCUGCUUUUAAGAUCACGGGACUACCUGAUACAACAUAAUUCUAUUGUAAGUAUUCAAACUUCAAUUGCUAUUUCUUAGAUUCUCUGAGCGUCUUGAGAACAGAUAUUGCUGAUAGCAUUUUGUUCUUCACGUACACUUUAUUGCUUUGUAUUGUCCAACUUUUGUGUACUAUAUGUGACCUCACUAGAUGCUAUGGUGAACCUAUGCAUGUUACAGGGUGGUGCAGCAGUGUGGUGUAUUGGUUUUCAAAAAAUCCAAGGUCAAGGGGUAACAAUUCUAGGAGGAAUAAUCCAUCCAUACCAAUUUGAAAACUUUAUGUCCUAUAUUCAUCUCUUUUAUGGUGACAUCUAGCAUGGAUAAAUGGACUAAGCUCAUCACAUAUUUAAUAUUGCAAGUUUCAUUUUUAACUUAAUUCUGCUCCACUCUUGCCAAUAUUUAUUGGAGACCAAUUAAAAUCUGUUUAAUUUAUUCUUGAUUCUGGAGUGAUCUAGGACUAUAUUACUGUACUGAAAUAUAUAAUAAUAUGGAGUUAUACUAAAAUUUGUCUAAUUUAACAUCGAUCUAAGUGAUUUGAAAUUAUAUUAUAUAAUAACUUGGAGUUAUAAUAAGUGGUUUAAACCAAAACAUUACAUCAGUAAUUUUCACAAUUCUGCAUUUUUGUUCUCUUUCAUUUCUCAAAUAUGGUCACAAAGGAGAUGCAUAAUCAGUAGAAAAAGGAUUAGAUAAGCUCCAACAUUCAUAACAUCUUUGUUACACUUUAUAGGAGGAAUAACAACCAAAUAUGAGGUGGAUUGAAGAUUCAAUCACCACAAAACAAAAUGGGCUAUCAUCAGAAAGAACUUUCAUUUUCAGUAAUUGAUCAUGCAUUUAAAUUUUGUUAUACAACUAAUUUCUCAUGAUGCUGCUUUAGCUCUUUAUAACAACUUCAAAAGACCAUUUACCUCACCAAAAGAACUUCUUAAGACUUCACACACCACUUUAAUUGUUUGUUUGGACUGAGAAGUGAAAAUAAGAUAGCAAAGAAGGAAAGAAAGAAAAGAGAGAAAAAGUGAAAUAUUUGAUUGUUUAAUAAAAGAGAGUAAAAAAAUGAAGAAAAAUGAAACAAUAAUUUAAUUGAUUUGAUAGAUUAAAAAAAUUAAUUGACAUAUUUAAUAAAUGAACAAAGUUUCCUUUUCUUAAAAAUGAAUUUUUGAUUAAAUGUUAAUAAAUUUUAAGUGUUUUUCCUAUAAAUUGGAUUUUCACUGUAAAAUAAUAAUU
This 2059-nucleotide long non-coding RNA is filed under the name Phaseolus vulgaris (common bean). Its description in RNAcentral is "long non-coding RNA (PVUL_LNC003317)". The record is from RNAcentral. Lineage: Eukaryota; Viridiplantae; Streptophyta; Magnoliopsida; Fabales; Fabaceae.